GACGUAGGGGACGAGCGUUGUCCGGAAUUAUUGGGCGUAAAGAGCUCGUAGGCGGUUUGUCACGUCGGAUGUGAAAACUCGGGGCUCAACCCCGAGCCUGCAUACGAUACGGGCAGACUUGAGUUCGGCAGGGGAGACUGGAAUUCCUGGUGUAGCGGUGAAAUGCGCAGAUAUCAGGAGGAACACCGGUGGCGAAGGCGGGUCUCUGGGCCGAUACUGACGCUGAGGUACGAAAGCGUGGGUAGCAAACAGG
RNAcentral lists this ribosomal RNA (253 nucleotides) under uncultured bacterium. RNAcentral describes it as "partial 16S ribosomal RNA". It matches the Rfam family "Bacterial small subunit ribosomal RNA", at positions 524 to 776 of the family's 1533-position model. The record is from RNAcentral.